This 223-nucleotide small nucleolar RNA is filed under the name Microcebus murinus (gray mouse lemur). RNAcentral's name for it is "Small nucleolar RNA U3 (ENSMICG00000023809.3)". It matches the Rfam family "Small nucleolar RNA U3". From Rfam's summary of the family: Small nucleolar RNAs (snoRNAs) are involved in the processing and modification of rRNA in the nucleolus. There are two main classes of snoRNAs: the box C/D class, and the box H/ACA class. The record is from Rfam by way of RNAcentral. Lineage: Eukaryota; Metazoa; Chordata; Mammalia; Primates; Cheirogaleidae.
AAGACUGUACUUUCAGGGAUCAUUUUUCUACAGUUUGUUACUAGUUUCUCUGAUGUGUGUAGAGCACCAGAAACUAACUACCAGGAGAAGACACAGCCUUCUCUCCUGAGCAUGAAACUGGCUCCUGGUGUUGCUUCCUUGCAACUGCCGUUUACCACUGAUGGUUGUUUUACCCUUUCUUUGGGAGAGGAGAGUAAGAAGGGGAGAAUGCAGUCUGAGUGGU